RNAcentral lists this ribosomal RNA (1034 nucleotides) under uncultured bacterium. Its description in RNAcentral is "bacterial SSU rRNA". It matches the Rfam family "Bacterial small subunit ribosomal RNA", at positions 336 to 1393 of the family's 1533-position model. The record is from RNAcentral.
CUCCUACGGGAGGCAGCAGUCGGGAAUAUUGCGCAAUGGGGGAAACCUGACGCAGCAACGCCGCGUGCAGGAAGAAGGUCUUCGGAUUGUAAACUGUUGUCGCAAGGGAAGAAGACAGUGACGGUACCUUGUGAGAAAGUCACGGCUAACUACGUGCCAGCAGCCGCGGUAAUACGUAGGUGACAAGCGUUGUCCGGAUUUACUGGGUGUAAAGGGCGCGUAGGCGGAUAUGCAAGUCAGUCGUGAAAUACCGGGGCUCAACCCCGGGGCUGCGAUUGAAACUGUAUACCUUGAGUAUCGGAGAGGAAAGCGGAAUUCCUAGUGUAGCGGUGGAAUGCGUAGAUAUCGGGAGGAACACCAGUGGCGAAGGCGGCCUACUGGGCACCAACUGACGCUGAGGCUCGAAAGUGUGGGUAGCAAACAGGAUUAGAUACCCUGGUAGUCCACACCGUAAACGAUGAUUACUAGGUGUUGGAGGAUUGACCCCUUCAGUGCCGCAGUUAACACAAUAAGUAAUCCACCUGGGGAGUACGACCGCAAGGUUGAAACUCAAAGGAAUUGACGGGGGCCCGCACAAGCAGUGGAGUAUGUGGUUUAAUUCGACGCAACGCGAAGAACCUUACCAAGUCUUGACAUCCCUUGACGAUGCUGGAAACAGCAUUUCUCUUCGGAGCAAGGAGACAGGUGGUGCAUGGUUGUCGUCAGCUCGUGUCGUGAGAUGUUGGGUUAAGUCCCGCAACGAGCGCAACCCUUAUGGUCAGUUACUACGCAAGAGGACUCUGGCCAGACUGCCGUUGAUAAAACGGAGGAAGGUGGGGAUGACGUCAAAUCAUCAUGCCCUUUAUGACUUGGGCUACACACGUACUACAAUGGCGUUAAACAAAGAGAAGCAAGACCGCGAGGUGGAGCAAAACUCAGAAACAACGUCCCAGUUCGGACUGCAGGCUGCAACUCGCCUGCACGAAGUCGGAAUUGCUAGUAAUCGUGGAUCAGCAUGCCACGGUGAAUACGUUCCCGGGCCUUGUACACACCGC